CAGGUUGUCAUAGCGGGCUGCAACCG
RNAcentral lists this unclassified non-coding RNA (26 nucleotides) under Pseudorhizobium banfieldiae. RNAcentral describes it as "Rhizobium sp. NT-26 P26". The record is from RNAcentral. Lineage: Bacteria; Pseudomonadati; Pseudomonadota; Alphaproteobacteria; Hyphomicrobiales; Rhizobiaceae.